UACGUAGGGUGCGAGCGUUGUCCGGAAUUAUUGGGCGUAAAGGGCUCGUAGGCGGUUUGUCGCGUCGGGAGUGAAAACUCAGGGCUUAACCCUGAGCCUGCUUCCGAUACGGGCAGACUAGAGGUAUGCAGGGGAGAACGGAAUUCCUGGUGUAGCGGUGGAAUGCGCAGAUAUCAGGAGGAACACCGGUGGCGAAGGCGGGUCUCUGGGCCGUUACUGACGCUGAGGAGCGAAAGCGUGGGGAGCGAACAGG
This 253-nucleotide ribosomal RNA is filed under the name uncultured bacterium. RNAcentral describes it as "partial 16S ribosomal RNA". It matches the Rfam family "Bacterial small subunit ribosomal RNA", at positions 524 to 776 of the family's 1533-position model. The record is from RNAcentral.